This 299-nucleotide signal recognition particle RNA is filed under the name Cebus imitator (Panamanian white-faced capuchin). Its description in RNAcentral is "Metazoan signal recognition particle RNA (ENSCCAG00000002385.1)". It matches the Rfam family "Metazoan signal recognition particle RNA". Rfam says of the family: The signal recognition particle (SRP) is a universally conserved ribonucleoprotein. It is involved in the co-translational targeting of proteins to membranes. The record is from RNAcentral. Lineage: Eukaryota; Metazoa; Chordata; Mammalia; Primates; Cebidae.
GCCAGGCGGGGUGGCAUGCGCCUGUAGUCCCAGCUACUCGGGAGGCUGAGGUGGGAGGAUUGCUUGGGCCCAGGAGUUCUGGGCUGUAGUGCGCUGUGCCGAUCGGGUGUCCACACUAAGUUAGGCAUCAAUAUGGUGACCUCCCGGGAGCGGGGGACCACCAGGUUGCCUAAGGAGGGGUGAACCGGCCCAGGUCGGAAACGAAGCGGGUCAAAACUCCCGUGCUGAUCAGUAGUGGGAUUGCACCUGUGAACAGCCACUGCACUCCAGCCUGGGCAACAUAGUGACACCCCGUGUCU